RNAcentral lists this long non-coding RNA (309 nucleotides) under Theobroma cacao (cacao). Its description in RNAcentral is "long non-coding RNA (TCAC_LNC001191)". Lineage: Eukaryota; Viridiplantae; Streptophyta; Magnoliopsida; Malvales; Malvaceae. The record is from RNAcentral.
UUCUCUCCCUCUCUCUCUUUUUCUUCUUAUCUCUCUGUUUCUUUCUUUUUCUCCUUCCUUCCUUCCCUCUCUCUCCUCGUCGAUGUCUUAUUUCUUCCACCGACCAAAUCUAGGUCUCCGAGGUCUUUUCUCCCUAAAUCUUUUCCCCGCCAAUCGAAUCUCACCACCAGAUCUGGGUUUAGCCGAACCAAGGCCUUUAACUCAAACCUCCCCUUUUCUUUCUCUAUGGAAAUCCCAAAAGCCCUAACACUUAACCACCCUUACCUUUAAAAAAAAAACACAGCUUUUGCCACCACUACCCGAAUUGCG